GAUCCUGGCUCAGGACGAACGCUGGCGGCGUGCUUAACACAUGCAAGUCGAACGAGAAUCUGUGGAAAGAGGAUUCGUCCAAUUGAAGCAGAGGACAGUGGCGGACGGGUGAGUAACGCGUGAGGAACCUGCCUUUCAGAGGGGGACAACAGUUGGAAACGACUGCUAAUACCGCAUAACAUAUAGAUGUCGCAUGGCAUUUAUAUCAAAGAUUUAUCGCUGAAAGAUGG
This 230-nucleotide ribosomal RNA is filed under the name uncultured bacterium. RNAcentral describes it as "partial 16S ribosomal RNA". It matches the Rfam family "Bacterial small subunit ribosomal RNA", at positions 15 to 228 of the family's 1533-position model. The record is from RNAcentral.